RNAcentral lists this unclassified non-coding RNA (257 nucleotides) under Hevea brasiliensis (rubber tree). Lineage: Eukaryota; Viridiplantae; Streptophyta; Magnoliopsida; Malpighiales; Euphorbiaceae. The record is from RNAcentral.
CGACGAGAAGCUGAAGAAGAUGAUGGUGAGAUGUAUGAUGAGUUUGGAAACCUUAAGAAGAAGUUUCGUGCCAAAUCCCAGCAAAUGGAAGCUGGUCGGAUACUACCAGGUGCUGGGAGGGCUGGAUGGGAAGUUGAGGAACUAGGUGUAGUUGAGAAAGAUAGGAGGGAGAGGAGUAGAGACCGAGGAAGGGAAUGGGAUGACCGAGACAGGGACCGAGACAGCAGCAGAACUAGAGAAAGAGAAAGCAGGGAAAG